GACGGCCAGUGAUAAGCUGGAGGAAGGUGAGGAUGACGUCAAGUCAGCAUGCCCCUUACACUCUGGGCUACACACGUGCUACAAUGGCCAGGACAAAGAGAUGCUACCUCGCGAGAGUACGCCAACCUCAAAAACCUGGUCUUAGUUCGGAUUGCAGGCUGCAACUCGCCUGCAUGAAGUCGGAAUCGCUAGUAAUCGCUGGUCAGCUAUACAGCGGUGAAUACGCCCCUGGCCCUUGUACACACCGCCCGUCACAUUCGGGAAGUUGGCUCAGCCCAAAGUCGUUAGUCCAACCUUCUUGGAGGACGACGCCUAAGGUUGAGCUAGUGACUCAAAUGAAGUCGUAACAAGGUAACCA
RNAcentral lists this ribosomal RNA (358 nucleotides) under uncultured eukaryote. RNAcentral describes it as "bacterial SSU rRNA". It matches the Rfam family "Bacterial small subunit ribosomal RNA", at positions 1147 to 1502 of the family's 1533-position model. The record is from RNAcentral.